This 254-nucleotide ribosomal RNA is filed under the name uncultured bacterium. RNAcentral's name for it is "partial 16S ribosomal RNA". It matches the Rfam family "Bacterial small subunit ribosomal RNA", at positions 524 to 776 of the family's 1533-position model. The record is from RNAcentral.
UACGGAGGGUGCGAGCGUUGUCCGGAAUCACUGGGCGUAAAGGGCGCGUAGGUGGCCCGGCAAGCGUGCGGUGAAAGUCGGGGGCUCAACCCCCGAUCGGCCGUGCGAACUGGGAGGCUUGAGCACUGUAGAGGCAGGCGGAAUUCCGGGUGUAGCGGUGGAAUGCGUAGAGAUCCGGAAGAACACCGGUGGCGAAGGCGGGGUCUCUGGGCAGUAACUGACGCUGAGGAGCGAAAGCGUGGGGAGCGAACAGG